GGGUGAGUAACACGUGAGUAACCUGCCCUUGACUCUGGGAUAAGCGCUGGAAACGGCGUCUAAUACCGGAUACGAGCUUCAGCCGCAUGGCUAGGAGUUGGAAAGAAUUUCGGUCAAGGAUGGACUCGCGGCCUAUCAGCUAGUUGGUGAGGUAAUGGCUCACCAAGGCGACGACGGGUAGCCGGCCUGAGAGGGUGACCGGCCACACUGGGACUGAGACACGGCCCAGACUCCUACGGGAGGCAGCAGUGGGGAAUAUUGCACAAUGGGCGCAAGCCUGAUGCAGCAACGCCGCGUGAGGGAUGACGGCCUUCGGGUUGUAAACCUCUUUUAGUAGGGAAGAAGCGAAAGUGACGGUACCUGCAGAAAAAGCACCGGCUAACUACGUGCCAGCAGCCGCGGUAAUACGUAGGGUGCAAGCGUUGUCCGGAAUUAUUGGGCGUAAAGAGCUCGUAGGCGGUUUGUCGCGUCUGCUGUGAAAUCUGGGGGCUCAACCCCCAG
This 501-nucleotide ribosomal RNA is filed under the name Frigoribacterium sp. RNAcentral's name for it is "bacterial SSU rRNA". It matches the Rfam family "Bacterial small subunit ribosomal RNA", at positions 104 to 619 of the family's 1533-position model. Lineage: Bacteria; Bacillati; Actinomycetota; Actinomycetes; Micrococcales; Microbacteriaceae. The record is from RNAcentral.